Molecule: long non-coding RNA, 218 nt
Organism: Dendronephthya gigantea
Lineage: Eukaryota; Metazoa; Cnidaria; Anthozoa; Malacalcyonacea; Nephtheidae
Exons: 3
Source: RefSeq, a predicted model, not a curated record
AAAGGCUGACCAAUUUUACAAAACGGGUUUGGAGAGAAAUAUUGAUGCCGUAUCAUUAUAAUAAACCAGUUGUCAGCAUGCAUUAAAAUUGGAUCUUGCCAGUCACGGAAAACCUUUGAAUACGUACAAUCCAGAAAGUCAGUUUAUACAAGACCUUCGAGAGAAAGAAGUCAAGCUGCUCAACGGAUUAAUGGAUUAACAAAAGAACGCGAACAGUU